CAGUAGCCGCGGGAAUACGUAGGUGGCAAGCGUUGUUCGGAAUUAUUGGGCGUAAAGGGCUCGCAGGCGGUUUCUUAAGUCUGAUGUGAAAGCCCCCGGCUCAACCGGGGAGGGUCAUUGGAAACUGGGAAACUUGAGUGCAGAAGAGGAGAGUGGAAUUCCACGUGUAGCGGUGAAAUGCGUAGAGAUGUGGAGGGACACCAGUGGCGAAGGCGACUCUCUGGUCUGUAACUGACGCUGAGGAGCGAAAGCGUGGGGAGCGAACAGGAUUAGAUACCCCAGUAGUCCCUGUCUCUUAUAA
RNAcentral lists this ribosomal RNA (301 nucleotides) under uncultured bacterium. RNAcentral's name for it is "partial 16S ribosomal RNA". It matches the Rfam family "Bacterial small subunit ribosomal RNA", at positions 509 to 809 of the family's 1533-position model. The record is from RNAcentral.